UGGGCAAGCUGUCGCUGGUCUCAGUAAUGGGGCAUGUGCACGCUUUGUUCAUCCACCUUCACACCUCUGUGCACUUCUCAUGGGUUGGGUUGCGCUUGAAAAAUAGCAAAAGCCCAUCUCAUGUGUUUUAUCACACACUACAAGUUUUAGAAUGUUACAAUCAUGCGUCAAUGCAUAUAAUACAACUUUCAGCAACGGAUCUCUUGGCUCUCGCAUCGAUGAAGAACGCAGCGAAAUGCGAUAAGUAAUGUGAAUUGCAGAAUUCAGUGAAUCAUCGAAUCUUUGAACGCACCUUGCGCUCCUUGGUAUUCCGAGGAGCAUGCCUGUUUGAGUGUCGUGGUAUUCUCAACCCUCCUGCAUUUUUUGCAGCUGGGAUUGGACUUGGAGGUUUUUUGCUGGUGGUCAAAUAUUUUUAUUUGAACACGGGCUCCUCUGAAAAGCAUUAGCUAAGAAUAUUACUGAGCAUGAUUCAAUGUGAUAAUUGUCUACGUUGCUUCAACUCAGUAUUAAAUGUGUUCUAGCUUCAAACCGUCCUCACGGACAAUAUCUGAACAUCUGACCUCAAAUCAGGCAGGACUACCCGCUGAACUUAAGCAUAUCAAUA
RNAcentral lists this ribosomal RNA (604 nucleotides) under Metuloidea cinnamomea. RNAcentral's name for it is "eukaryotic LSU rRNA". The stretch from base 184 to 337 matches the Rfam family "5.8S ribosomal RNA". The record is from RNAcentral. Lineage: Eukaryota; Fungi; Basidiomycota; Agaricomycetes; Polyporales; Steccherinaceae.